UGGUAACACCUGUGGGGCAUUCCUUUUUGAACAGUACCCCUUCCCUUGAUGUCUACAGUAUCACCUUUCUUAUAGAUUAGCAUAUAUGUGGCCAAAGGAACAACUCCAUGUUUUUGCAAAGGCCUAGAGAACAUAUAUCCAGUGCCUUUCCUUUUUGCCUUUGUAUUUAUCAUUUUGGCAAAUUACUGGAAGAUGACGGUUCUGGCCAAAAGGCUGGUUUUGUUUUUGGGUCACAUUUUCUUGCUUCUCUGUGUUAGAAUCUUGGAUUAGAUGAUGGACAUGGUGAAGAUGGAAAAUAUGAGGUGCAGAGAAGUGAUGGAAAAAAGAGAUCAGGAUUUCAGUUUUUUUCUGCAUUUCUCAUCAUCCCAUGAAGUCUCUUGAUAACAUAAGCCAAGUUUUCAUAUACCUUGACGUGUGUGAUACUUACAUGGUGCCAAGAACAAGAUGCCUACUCAAUAAAUAUUCAUCACUAUAGGCAAAAGCGGGCACAGAUGGAAAAUAAAAUUAUUUGAAGAGUCUUGCUCUGUCACACAGGCUGGAGCAUAGUGGCAUGAUCUCAGCUCAUUGCAACCUCUGCCUCCUGGGUUCAAGCAAUCCUCCUACCUCAGCCUCCUGAGUAGCUUGGACCACAGGAGACAAAAUCCUGCUAGAGAGAAGGGGCCUGCUUCAAGCACAUAACUGGAUUCUACCUCAAGACAAUCUGCCACAUUUGAAGCUUGGAAUCUUCAAAGAGCAGAAUAGA
Molecule: non-coding RNA, 742 nt
Filed under: Pan troglodytes (chimpanzee)
Lineage: Eukaryota; Metazoa; Chordata; Mammalia; Primates; Hominidae
Source: RNAcentral